Non-coding RNA from Equus caballus (horse), 3271 nucleotides. NCBI's taxonomy places the organism in Eukaryota, Metazoa, Chordata, Mammalia, Perissodactyla, Equidae. The record is from RefSeq and is a predicted model, not a curated record.
UUUUGCACUAAUGCACUGUAGAUGUUUUUAACCAGUCCUCACUUUUUGAUAUUUAGUUUCUAAUUUUUCACUAUUAUAAACAAUACUGCGAGGAACAUCCAUUUAGCUUGAUCUUUGAACAUAUCAAAAAUAAUUUCCUUACUAGAACCUCUGUAAAAUAGGGUUUAUAUAUUGGACUGUAUGCUUAAAUAAAGGUAAGGAUUUGUUACCUAUUGCCAAAUUUCCCUCAUGAAAGAUUGCACUGUUAUACGCUCCCCACUAGUGUCUAAGAUUGUCCAUUUUCUCAUAUAUUUAAGAACACUGGGAGUUUUAAUAACACACAAAAAAAGAAUUGAGUCAUUUGACUGGUGAAUGAUUGUAAUUUAUUCUAAAAUUUGUCCUUCAUAUGAUUUCUAAUGAAAUGAGAUUUUUGAAAAUCUUCAUUGGUCCUCUGUUUUUGUGUUUUUAAAAUCCCUGUUUCAGUUUUAUUAUUGUUUUCUUUUUGUUCCUUUACUUAGUCUCAAAUUGGGAUGCUCAUAAUCAGUGAAUAGACUAAAAGGUUAGAAGCAGCUAUAAAGUUGAAUAAACUAGGUUCCUGAAUUUAUGUAUUUAUUCAACAUAUAGUUAUUGAGUACUUUCUAUUUGCUAUGGAAUUUUCUAGGUGUUGGGAAAGAUAAAGUUUCUGCUCCUCCUGAAAAUUAAAUAAAUAAGUAAUAUAAGAUCUCUUAGUGAUAAGAGCUAGGAAGAAAAAUAAAGCAAGUUAGAAGAUAAAGAGUGAUGAAUAACCUAGCUAUUUUAGGUAAGCCAGUCAAAGAAGGUUCGUAUGAAGAAGUGACAUCUGAGCACAGACCUGAAUGAAUUUGGGAAGCAGGGCAUGUGACAAACUGGGGAAAGAAUGUUUUAGGCAGAGGAAACAAGUUCAAAAGUCCACUGUGUUUUAAGGAUUAUUAAAAUCAGUUCACUUACGUCAUUCACAAAGGUAUAGCACUGUUUCAUCUUGAAUCCGUCUAUAGCUUUUCUUUCUAGUCAGCUUAGUUUUAGGACUAAUGAACUAAUAUAUAGAGAUGAAAAUCACCUAACUAUUCCAGACCAAACUUGUAUGAUAAUUGAAAUUUUGAGAAAACACAGAGAAAUGACUUUUAAGUUAAAUUUAGUAUAAUGGGAUAGUUUUACUUACUUACCAUGCAAUUACCAGGAAAUGGUUUCUGUAAAAGUGCUGAGUAAUCAAGAGGGGUUUAUUGCUUUAUAAACUCACAAGUAAUGGAAAUUAUUUCUUUUAAUAAAGAAAGAAAAGUUGAGGAUGUAUAAUGGGCUAUAAAAAGAGGCUAAUAAGAGCUAGGGCACAAUUACAACUUAUUCUUCAGAAUUGAUGGUAAUAGUUAUAUUUUUAAGAAAAUGGCUGACAAGUGGGGCUUACGGCAGACCAAUAACAGAAGCACAUUGAUUUCAGAGAAGACUUUACAGAAAGUAUCAUCACUUGAAUGAGUCCCACAGUGCGCUAUUUAUUUCACAUUCAAUGUAAGAUGUCAGUGAGCCUCCAUAUAUAGUGCAGUCUUGGGUUUGAGUUUCAGGGUAUUAUCUAGCUGCCCUUUUUAAAAUCUGAUUCUGUUCACAAAGAGGUCCCUGUUCAAUAUUUGUACCAAUCCACUAUUCUGUAUCUUUUAUCCCUUUUGUUCUUAGCCUGUUCCAUAUUUUACCUAUGUUGCUUUGGAUUAUUUUAGAUUUCCACACAUUUUAUCUUCAUUAAGUCUACAAACUCCUUAAGGGUCAGGAACACAUAUAAUCAGGCCAACUAUAGUACUGUUUUGUUAUGCCUUCCAAAGUAUCUAAUAUUAGCUGUUCCCUUAACAGGUAAUACUCAUGCUGAACAAAUGAAAGGAUGAGUCGCAAGUGCUAAACACAGAGUUGUUUUUGGAGCUCACUAAUAAUUAAAUAGAGAUACAUACUGAACACAAGGAGGAGAGCAAAAAGACUGCUUCACCUGAGUUCAAGUAAUGUAUCGCCUCACAGAAGAACUGCAACUACUUCAAGAAAGCAGAAUGGAGGAAAAAGGGCAACAUGUUUUGGCCAUUACCACAGACUGAAUACCUAAGCUAAAUGCAGCUAGGCCAGGCCCAAGGGAUGCUGCAGAACUACACCAGUCCAAGAUAUGACACCAACACAGAACACAGAUGGUGAUGAUUAAAAUAAAAUCAAUAAGGUAUAACCACAGCAUUCAGAGUACAUCAAAGCGGAGUGCUGAUACACAGAGUGAUAUUCAUCUCCAGCAUUUCUGAAAGAAUACAAUGACAUAGCUGCUUUGUCACCUUAGCAGAGCCAUGGAAAUGUAGAUGGAAGCAUCUUGGGCUAAUAAAGGUGAGGAAACUAAGUCUCAGAGAUGGAGUGACCCAAAGUCAGUGUUCUCUGUGGAGGAAUUGCUGACUGGAACUUCCAGUAUUAUUAUGAAUAAGAGCAAAGAAAGCGGAUAUCCUUGCCUUGUUCUGGAUCAUAGAGAGAAAGCACUCAGUCUCACCUUUAGGUAUGGUAAGAGCUCUAGUUUUUUUUAUAGAUGCUCUUUAUCAAGUUGAUGAAGUUCCUUUCUAUUCCUAGUUUGCUGAGAGUUUGUAUUGUGAAUGAAUGUUGGAAUUUGUCAAAUGAUUUUUAUGUGUCAAUGGAUAUGAUCAUACAAUUUUUCUCUUUAGCUUGUUGAUAUGGUAGAUUAUAUUGAUUGAUCUCUGGUCAUUGAACCAGCCUUGUAUUCCUGGAAUAAAUUCCACUUCCUUGGUCAUGUUGUAUGAUUAAAUUUAUUCAUUGUAGAAUUAGGCUUGCUAAUUAUUAGAUGAGGAUUUUUGCAUCAAAUUUAAUAAGAGGUAUUGGUUUGUAGGGUUUUUGAAAUUGUUUUUGUCUGAUUUUUGUAUUGGAUUAAUACUGGCCCCAUAAAUGAGUUGGGAAGUGUUCCCUCCUCUCUUGUUUUCUGGAAGAACGAGAUUGUGUAGAAUUGAUUUUAAUUCUUCUUUACCUGUUUUGUAAAAUUCUGCAGUGAAGCCAUGGGGGAUGGGAGAUUUCUCUUUUAAGGGAUUUUAAAAUUAUGAAUUAAAUUUCUUUAAUGGUUAUAGGUCUACUCAAAUUAUCUAUUUUAUUUUGGUUGAGUUUGGGUAGUUUUUGAGCAGUUGGCCAAUUAAAUUGUCAAAUUUAUGAACGUAACAUUAUUGGUAUUUUUUCCCUAUUAUACUUUUAAUGAUUACAGAUUCUAUAGUGAUAUUCCAUGUCAUUCAUGAUGAUGACUUAUGUUUUUUCUCUUUUUUAUCUUUGU